This 76-nucleotide transfer RNA is filed under the name Clostridioides difficile. Its description in RNAcentral is "tRNA-Phe". It matches the Rfam family "tRNA". From Rfam's summary of the family: Transfer RNA (tRNA) molecules are approximately 80 nucleotides in length. Their secondary structure includes four short double-helical elements and three loops (D, anti-codon, and T loops). Further hydrogen bonds mediate the characteristic L-shaped molecular structure. tRNAs have two regions of fundamental functional importance: the anti-codon, which is responsible for specific mRNA codon recognition, and the 3' end, to which the tRNAs corresponding amino acid is attached (by aminoacyl-tRNA synthetases). tRNAs cope with the degeneracy of the genetic code in two manners: having more than one tRNA (with a specific anti-codon) for a particular amino acid; and 'wobble' base-pairing, i.e. permitting non-standard base-pairing at the 3rd anti-codon position. The record is from RNAcentral. Lineage: Bacteria; Bacillati; Bacillota; Clostridia; Peptostreptococcales; Peptostreptococcaceae.
GCCCAGAUAGCUCAGUCGGUAGAGCAGGGGACUGAAAAUCCCGGUGUCGGUGGUUCGAUUCCGCCUCUGGACACCA